RNAcentral lists this ribosomal RNA (250 nucleotides) under uncultured bacterium. RNAcentral describes it as "partial 16S ribosomal RNA". It matches the Rfam family "Bacterial small subunit ribosomal RNA", at positions 525 to 775 of the family's 1533-position model. The record is from RNAcentral.
ACGGAGGAUGCGAGCGUUAUCCGGAUUUAUUGGGUUUAAAGGGUGCGUAGGCGGGCUGGCAAGUCGGCGGUCAAAUGUCGGGGCUCAACCCCGGCCUGCCGUCGAAACUGCCGGUCUUGAGUGAGCGAGAAGCAGGCGGAAUGCGUGGUGUAGCGGUGAAAUGCAUAGAUAUCACGCAGAACCCCGAUUGCGAAGGCAGCCUGCCGGCGCUCAACUGACGCUGAGGCACGAAAGUGCGGGGAUCGAACAG